UAGGGAAUAUUGGACAAUGGGCGAAAGCCUGAUCCAGCAACGCCGCGUGCACGAUGAAGGUCUUCGGAUUGUAAAGUGCUUUUAAGGGAGAUGAGAAAGGACAGUAUCCCUUGAAUAAGCCUCGGCGAACUACGUGCCAGCAGCCGCGGUAAAACGUAGGAGGCAAGCGUUAUCCGGAUUUAUUGGGCGUAAAGCGCGUGCAAGCUGUUUGGAAAGUUGGAUGUGAAAGCUCCUGGCUUAACUGGGAGAGGUCGUUCAAAACUACCAAACUAGAGAAUGGGAGAGGGAAGUGGAAUUCCGGGUGUAGUGGUGAAAUGAGUAGAUAUCCGGAGGAACACCAGUGGCGAAAGCGGCUUCCUGGACCAUUUCUGACGCUUAGACGCGAAAGCUAGGG
RNAcentral lists this ribosomal RNA (394 nucleotides) under uncultured bacterium. RNAcentral's name for it is "bacterial SSU rRNA". It matches the Rfam family "Bacterial small subunit ribosomal RNA", at positions 355 to 765 of the family's 1533-position model. The record is from RNAcentral.